Molecule: long non-coding RNA, 2202 nt
Filed under: Pongo abelii (Sumatran orangutan)
Lineage: Eukaryota; Metazoa; Chordata; Mammalia; Primates; Hominidae
Description: lincRNA
Source: RNAcentral
AUUAACUCGGAGCCCGGCGCAGUGGAAAGCGGGGCCAAGAAGCGGAGGUCCAGGUUCCAACUCUGAUUCUAUCACAAAACACUGCACCCAAGGCAACCAGGCAGCUUCCAAAGACCUCGUAUGUGCCCCGCCAUUUGCUGGGUGCUGGGGAUACAGACAUGAAAAGAAAAAUAAAAGACUCAGCCGUGCCUCCGGGAGCUCACAGUCCCGCUGAUGGUUUAGUCCUCUCCUCUCUCCGGGCCUCACUGCCCCAAUCUGGGAGAUUGACAGGUUGGACUAUCACGACCCGUCUCUCCGCCGCUGCGGAGACGCCCCUGGAUCACAGCGCCCCUGCCUCUGCGGCCCAGGACAGGGCUCAGGGCCCAGCCCCUAAAAUUGCUCAGGGUGAGGUUGAAUGGAUCAACCACAGCAACUGUCACCUCACAGCAGGAGACAGGGAAACUGAGUCCCAGAGAGUCAAGAGAGUGCUUACCUGAGACCUGGGUAAUACUGGAAGCUGUCCUUCCUUCCACCAAAAGCUCUUCGCCUUUUUUAUUAUUUUUAAUUUUUGUUUUUGUUUUUGAGACGGAGUCUCACUCUGUCGCCCAGGCUGGAGUGCAGUGGUGCAAUCUCAGCUCACUGCAACCUCCACCUCCCGGGUUUAAGCGAUUCUCCUGCCUCAGCUUCCCAAGUGGCUGGGAUUACAGGCAUGUACCACCACACCUGGCUAAUUUUUGUAUUUUUAGUAGAGAAGAGGUUUCACCACGUUGGCCAGGCUGGUCUCAAGCUCUUGACCUCAAGUAAUCCACCUGCCUUGGCUUCCCAAAGUGUUGGAGUUACCGGAGUAAGCCACUAUGCCCAGCCCAAGAGCUCUUUGCCUUCUGAGAGCAGCGUCCUGUGGAGGCAGAAACAGGUAUCUGCCCUCUCCAAGCCUGACUUCUCACCGGCUUCCCCCAACAAUCACACAGCAGGUUCCGCAGGCUUUUCCUUCCUUUCCUUCUUGUCCUGUCCCCUCCCUUCCCACAGCUCUGGGACGGCAGCCUUUACCUGAGCUGCCCGAGCCCCUGGUUGCUCCCCAGAAACAGUGGCCUGGCUGCGUGUUGGCAUCCACAGCACGUGAUAAGGGCUAUGGGAUUUGGGCGACCCUGGAGGGUGAGGAAAGGGAAGGUGCCCAUGUGAGGACUAGGCGUCUGGAGAGAGGAAGGGAGAGGGCCCGGCGGGAGGAAGUGCUGCCCCAAGCGGCAGGACAGGGCUCUGAAAAACCACAAGAUGCUUGUGAACAGCCAGUGCUGCUGCUGUCCAAGCCAUUACCCUGUGCCGUGCCUGAGCGGCGCCCUGAAGUUUUGAAAGGCGGAAGAUGAGCUCCCUGCAAGGAGGGUCUUCCUGCGGUGGAAUAGAGGCCUCGCCCAGAGCCCGAGGGCAGCACAGCCCCCCUCGCAGGCCACCUGUCUGCACAGUUCACCCUCCUCGGCCUCCUCUCUCCCUCCUCCCAGCAAGGUGGGCCCUUUGUUCUCCAUCUGACUCACCAGGGCUCCUUCCCCCAUCCCACCCCACACCAGCCCUGCCUCAAGCUGGAGGGGGAAUACUGGGGGAGCUGGGGAGUUGGUUUGGGUCCUGCUUCUGAGAGGCGAGAGCUCCAAAGGACCCCUCCCUGCCCAGCCUGUUUCAUCCCCAGAUUGUUAGAGCUGAUACAGGGUCUGCCUAACUGUAUUCCACUCCCCUACCCUCCACCGCCCCCACCCACCCACCCACCCACCCAUCCACACACACACACACACACACUGGCUCCAGCUGUCCUCAGGGUCCCAAUGCCCUCUGGACACUAUCCCAGGACAGCCCCUCUGAGUCUGCCAGUAGCUACCAUACCCCUCCCUCCUUCUCCAAGCUAAAUGGCCUCUGUUCCCUCAAAAAACAAAGAACUAAAGGCAAGCGCUAGAAUGAUCAAGCUCUUAGAAGAAGCAGAGGGCCGCGUCUCCAGGACCUCAUGGAGGCAACGGCUUCUUAGCCUUGACACCAAAGCAUGAGCAACAAAAAGAAGAAUAAAUAAAUUGGAUUUCAGCAAAUUCAAAACAACUGUGCUCCAAAGGACACUAUCAAGAAAGCAGGCUGGGUGCAGUGGCUCACGCCUGUAAUCCCAGCACUUGGGGAGGCCAAGGCGGUUCCAUCACUUGCGGCCAGAAGUUCGAGAUCAGCCUGGCCAACAUGGCAAAAUCCUGCCUCUAC